RNAcentral lists this ribosomal RNA (441 nucleotides) under uncultured bacterium. RNAcentral describes it as "partial 16S ribosomal RNA". It matches the Rfam family "Bacterial small subunit ribosomal RNA", at positions 338 to 795 of the family's 1533-position model. The record is from RNAcentral.
CCUACGGGAGGCUGCAGUGGGGAAUAUUGCACAAUGGGGGAAACCCUGAUGCAGCAACGCCGCGUGAAGGAAGACGGUUCUCGGAUUUUUAACCUCCUUUUGUAGAGAAGAAAAAUGACGGUAGCGAAGGAGCCAGCCAGUGCUUACUACGUACCAAUAGGCUCGGUAAGACGUAGGAGGCAAGCGAUUUCCGGAUUUACUGGGUGUAAAGGGAGCGCAGGCGGGAUGCUAAGUCAGUUGUGAAAAUUACGGGCUUAACUGGAAGAUUGCAGUUGAAACUGGUUGUCUUGAGUAAAGUAGAGGUUGGCGGAAUUCGGGGUGUAGCGGUGAAAUGCGUAGAUAUUCGGAAGAACACCGAUGGCGAAGGCAGCUCACUGGGCUUCAACUGACACUGAGGCUCGAAAGUGUGGGGAGCAAACAGGAUUAGAUACCCCUGUAGUC